CUGCAACGUGGGUUUCUGAGCAGCCAAUUAAAUCAGUAUGAAAUUACUUUUUUGCCCAUGAUCAUGUCCAGGCGAAACAUCUCUGCGUCCCUGUUAAACCCCUGUUUGUUAUGUAUUGAUAUGAUCCUCUCUCAAACUCCUUCACCUCCCCUUUCUACUUCUCUCGCUCUUUUAUACAGAUUUGCGGCUUCUCGGCACCAGACGUCUCCAUACAAAUUGCAGUUACGAUUAUCAAUAUUUUGAUACAUAGCUUUUUAAUUAUUCGUUCCAUGCUCGUGCGUUGAAGACUCUAGCGUCUGAUCCGGAUUCGAGGAAAGAAACAGGUUGCCGAACGAACAAUUACAGAUUUUUUUGCGGUAUUGGUCCUCUAUAACAGGCCUAUGUUCAGCAACUCCAAACAAGUCGUCCAAGGUUGGCACAACCGGUGCUGGAACUUGAUAGAACUAAACAGGUUAGAUCAUUUUGGUUGUAGAACGAGUGUUUAUAUUCACAUAGGCAUGUCUGUCUAUUGCUGGUGAAAAUGUAUGAUUUCCACGUAAGCGUCUCUUGCUAUGGAUUGGAGGAUUCAAGCCAGGGGCGGAGGGACUAAAUGCCGAGGGUAUGCCCGGCCUACCCUCAAAUUCUGGUGAAAAGGAUUCCCCCCAUUAUGGUCAUAUAACAUGUACACUACUGGCCUACUUUAUUUCUUUGUUAAUUUGCUUUUAAUGUGAAUUAAAUAUUUUCGAAAUAUUAUUAUAUUAUGGAAGUAUUUCAUGAUUGCUAAGUGUCUCAGACGUUAGUAUACCUUUUCUACUUGAUAGGUGUUCUGUAUUCUUUUUAUUUAGUUUUCGUAUUGCUUCUCUAAUGCAGAUUAGUUUGCUUAAUUUUUUUUUUGUUAUAUAUACACAUGUUUAUGAUAUUAGGAACAAAAAAUACAUAUUAUAUCUACUUUUUAAAAUAGUGGAUACAUUUAAAUUAAUUAUAAUAUGUAUAAGUAAAGUCAUUAUAUAUUUAUACAAUCUAGCCAUAAUAUUCUAUUAUUAUAUAUAUAUCUUCUAAGACGGUUAUUGUUUAUGUUUUUAAAAAAGAAAUUGGCACUCCCUAGCUUUUGAACCUGCCUCCACCCUGAUUCAAACCAUCUAAGAUUAUUUAAGUAAAUAUUAUAUAUCCAAUUGUUGUUCUCUGUCAUGAGCAUGCAUGCUGGAUUCUUUCUUUUAAGCUUGAAUGUACAUGUACUGAUUCCAUAUUUAGUAACUUGCCAUCAUCUUUUGUAGCUGAAAUGAACAGGAAACAGAAAUGGGAAUAGAUAGCACCUCGAUAACGUAUGAAGUAGAAUUGCUCACACGUUCAUAUUAGUGAAUGAUUUGCUAUUACAAAUAUUUCUGUUUGGUCCCUCAAUUCUGUAGUGGAUUAUUUAACAUGUGGUUUGACAUAUCUUUUUGCCAUUCUAUAUUUUUUGGCACGUGUAUCGUUUCAUAAAAUCGCAGCUGUGUGAGGAUUUUAUUCACUGCAGAUUUUAGUACCCCAACUUGAGCCAUUGAUUGAACAACUUGUAAGGGUGAAUAAGAUGCGCCAUUCAUGCCAGCAAGCUGAGGAUGCAUUGUUACAAGGAAUAAAAAAACUUGAGCAGACCCUAGCUUAAUGUGUUGCACAUGAUAACAUAGGCAGGGGAAGUUAUGGUUCUCGGAUGGGCACACAAUGGAGAGGCCAGAAACUUUAGAGUGCUUGAACCAGGCAGAUCAUCUUCAACAGUAAACACUGCAACAGAUGAUUCGUAAUCUUGACCACUAGCCAAGCAGCUGUGAAUUGCUUGCAUUUGGGGAAUACUUUCGUGCAUUUAAAUUCUCUCUCGGCAGUUCAUCCUCAUUUAAAAGUUUUAUUUCCCUACUCCCAUUAGUAUCCCUAACUCAAUCAAGCUAGAAAACAAAGUGUGUACAACUGUUGGCUUUUCUAUAUAUGGUCGCUUUAUUGAUUAUUCUUGCUGUUUUGAGCCCUUGGUUUCGCAAGUGUAUGCAUGAUAUUUGAACUUGAAUUAGUAUUGGUACAUCUCAUAUUCCCGAUUUUAGAAGUUCGUACUUGGUCAGAGUCCAAUCAACACUGCCUAUCACUGCCUGAAUCAAACUCUUUAAAAUGCCAGGAAGAAAUUUGAUUUUUGCUAUAAACUAUGAAUAUUCAGAAGAUUUGACUUGUACAUUAUGAUCAAUUUAAGGUUUAUGGUAGUUUGUUCAUUUUUGGUAUUAAUGGCUUUUUUAGUUAAUUUGAGUUGCUAUAUGGUUUAUUUUUUUAGGAAUUUACAUAGGUCAUUUUUAUUAAUUCUAUUUGUGGAUUUAUUUUGGAAAAUUGCAUGUAAAUGGUAGAAAAUUAUUAUAUAUUAGGCUAAACAAAAAUACUCUGAUUGCGCUUCCAAAAAUGUUAUUUAAGUAAUAAUUUCUAUUGAAGCACUAUGUAAGUUUUGUGUUGCAUUUGAAAAAAGCUUACUUACAUAGCACUUGCGGGAACGCUAUUGAAGUACGCUACUAACAUAGCGCUUACACAAGUGUUAUAUAAGUACAUUUUACUUGCAUAGUGCUGGCUUAGAUAACACUUAGAAACGCUAUGUAAGCUUAAAAAUAAGCGCUAUGUAAGUUAAAAUCUGUAGUAAUGUAUGUUACAGUCAAUGAGAAGUCAGGGAGAACUUUGUUUUAUUGGUUGACUGAAGCUGUUGAUGAUCAUGCUGACAAGCCUCUUGUUCUCUGGCUCAAUGGAGGUUUUUCUUGAUACCAUUCAAUUUAUAGGUUUUGGGUUUGAUUUCUUCUGGCUUGUCUUUGUGUUAUUGCUCUUGGAGAGUGUGUUGAUUGGUUUCGAACCUGUUACUCUCGAUGUUCAGAAUAAUGUGGAUGGUAGGAUUGAUAUUGCCUUGAAAAUUGUAUCUGUAAUCCUGGAAGACGACGUUUGUUUUUUGACAAUGGUGUAAUCCUAAUUUAAAUAAAUGUGUUAAAUAUUAAUCAGGUGAUGUUUUUUCAGGCCCUGGGUGUUAUCGAUUACUUUUGGCAUGGCCGCGAAGAUGGGACCUUUCCAUGUUAAUAAAGAUGGGAAGACUCUCUAUUCUAAUCCAUUCUCUUGGAAUCAAGGUAAGUUUUAGCCCUUAAAAUAUAAUAGUUUUUUUAAUUUAAACACCCUCUUAUUUUGGUAAUAUGCUACACAUCUGCUGAGCUGAAUUGCAAGAUAUUUUGUACAAAACUUUUGAAUAUACUCGGCGGCAAUAGAAAUGGUUGUGCUGAAUUGAUGAUCUCCUCAAGGCAACCCCAUGUACAUAAUCUAACAUUAUAUUGACCUUUGAGUUCAGGAUAUCAGGUUCGUAAAAAAUUUGAGAGACCAGCAACUUAACUUGGGCUGGCACUUGUGUAUUAUAGAAUGUACAACAUAAUGUAACAUGAAGGAAAAGGACAACAAGUUUUAUUUUUAACUCAUUUCAGUGCAGCCUAUAUUCUGUACAUAAUACUGCAACAGGAGUUUGGUGAUCCAAAAAAUUCGGUUUAGUCUUUUACACCUCCAUCUCCUUCUUCAUAUGUGUGUUUUUUGGGUGCAGCCAAGGCUCAGAAUCAAUAUGCACCAAUAACUUCUUCUCCACAGCUAUAGUGGUUCUGAGCCAUUUUAUUCCAUGUCAGCGCCACAUCAUUGCCUUGUCAGAUAGGUUAUACACAUAAUUCACGCCUCUCUGUCCCCCUCACAGUAACUCCUUCGCUUGGUUCUUAACCCAUGAAUGUUGUCGCUCUACGUUAUCUAUUUUAGGUCUACUCGCCUAAAUCCUUUCGCUGACCUGAUAUAUCUUUCGUCUCUAGCACAUAUAGAGUUGUAAGGUGUCGAGUUCAAAGCACAAAGGAGGCCACAAGGCUGUUGUUGACACCAUCCAGAUGCUGCAGCCCAGACAACUUGUCAGAUUGCAAAUGAUAAGCUGGUGUUAGCUUCACUUGAGCUCAUGACCUUGCAUAAAAGACUUGCAUCUAGGAUGAGGUACAUCAAAUAUCUUGCAGUCCAAGAAGUUGAAAGGAUCUUAUGUCAUGUUGCAAGCGAAAAAGUUUGGAAUUUGCUUCAGAAAAUAUUCACUUCUAAGUUAUAAUCAACAAUAUGGCUUUUUCACCAAAAAAUUGUGCAAGUUACCUCCUACCCAAAUUCAAAAAUUAUGUCCAUGCACCCAAUGGUGGAAGUACUCAUGUGCUGAUAUGUGCAAGCUCGAGAAGAUUUUGAAAUUUAGUGUACUACGCAUAUAUUAUAUUUUUAGAGUUAAAAGAUGUGACAAGCCUGAUUAAGUAUAAUUCGGCCAUACAGAAUUGCAAACUAAAAUUAUGUUAUGUUAUGAAAAUUCUAAGACUCAUCUUCUUAGCAAGUUGAAGAUAAA
Molecule: long non-coding RNA, 4357 nt
Organism: Daucus carota subsp. sativus
Lineage: Eukaryota; Viridiplantae; Streptophyta; Magnoliopsida; Apiales; Apiaceae
Exons: 4
Source: RefSeq, a predicted model, not a curated record